CACCCAAUCAGAUUUACUCUCUCUCUCUCUCACAUUCACUCUCUCACUCACGCUCUCCCUCUUCCACUCUCGACAUCUCUCUCUCACUUUCUCCUUCUUCACUUCUUCUUCUUCUUUGCAACAAACACCAUCACCAUACUUCUUCUUCCCUCCUUGGCCAAGCAGCCGCCACCCAUGGCCAACCACCGCCACCACCGCGCUCUCCUCACGCGAGCCAGAGCACCACCACCUUCUCCCUCACGAACCAGCCCCAUCAAGCCAUCAUCUUCCUCUUUUCCUUACCUCUGGUUCAGAUACGAGCACACCACCAACGUCCAGCACCACCGCGAGCACCACCACCACCAGGAUCGACCAAAAACGGCGCCAAACAGAGGAGCUUGAAACCCUAACUUCAGCCACCUUCAAGCUUCUUUCUCUGGCGAACCCCUUAGCUUUUGGAGAAACGAAUACCACCACUGAACUCCCCUCAUCAUCACCUUCAAAACCCCUAAAGAAAUUUCUGAUUCUGACGGAAACCGCCGCCAGCCGCCGUCAACCACCGUCUUCUCCGGCCAACCUUCGCCGGAGAAGGAACUGAACUCAGAAAUAAGGAGCCCUCCUCCUCCUCUUGCUGAAUUGAUUAUCAAUUUUGGUUUUGUGUUAUUGCUGUCAGCCUUGAUGAUCACGCUUGGAGAGGGCAGCCAUGACCAGCCAAGGAGAACCCUACCACUGCCUUCAACUUUGAUAGGGGUACGAAGAACGGAAGCACCUUGCAUCGAAGCUACACAAUGGAAUAAAGCGAGUCUACACGGGGAAAGCAAAUACGUGAUUGGAUUGGAGUUGCAACUUAGUAAGAGAGUUGGCUAAGACGACGAAAGUAGGUGAUGUGAGCAAACGCUACUCCACGUGGAAGAACUAUAGAAGACUCGAAGGAUAGAGUCAGGUGUAGGGCUUGAGCCUUUGGGUAGAAAGGCUUACCGUUAUUGGUUUAAGCUUGCAGGAUCAUUUUAUGAUUUGUAUUUAAGGUUUCGGGUAGGUUCCGGUGCAUUGCUUUCCUAUGGUUACCCCGUGUGGAAAUCAUAGGGAGUAUAUCGGAUCUAUGGAGUCAUUGCAUAGGGAGCCCGUUGUUGGAUCUUAGUUUAUUUGUCAUGUAUUUUAUGUUGUGCCUUGAUCGAGGCCAGAUGUAAAUUAUUUACGGUUGGGAGUAUGCAUUACAUAUUUUAGAAACACUUCGAAAAGGAAAAAAAAUACUCACAUUUAUAAAUCCCUUUUGGAAAAGAUUGCAUAUUUACUAUAACAUGCUACUACCGUGGCACCCGAAAAUUGGGGUGUUACAUAUACGCCAAAAAGCACCUCUACAGGUUAAUAGUUGGAGAGAUAUGCUUCCGAACGAAGUAGAUACAAUGUGGAAACAUAUGAAGGUUAGUAUAUCAUUAUCAUAGAUUAGCUUUAUUUUUCAGAUUGAUAGUAGCAGUGUUUAUAUUAGCUUAUUUAACACAGUUGGAAUCAGUGUUUCAACUUGGUGAAUGUGUGAUCUGUUCUUUGUACAUUCGAGAUAGAGAUUUGAACAUAUUUGACAAUGAAGUAGAAAUUGAAAUUUUUUAAAAAAAAAACAGCAUAAUAAAAGGACCCUAACAACUUCAGCAUAAUAAAAGGUUCUACUUUUUCUUUUAUUGGCCUUGAAGGUAUUUGUUGGCCCUCCUAGUGUUCUGUCUGUAUUUGCACAUGAGUUUUUACUCUCAUGGUUCUCUUUUAUCCAAUUAAGUGUUUUGUUUCAAAAAUAAAUUUAACUUAUUCAUAUAAUGAUACUAUUAGACUGGGCGAGACCCCAGGGCCCCUCGCCUAGGGGACUCAGCCUUAGGCGCGGAACAUGCCUGGACCUUGGGCCGUUCUCCCCAAGGCCCAACCGGCCCAUUUAGACAGAUUAAAGGCACGAAGGCCCAACCCCAAAUCUAUAAAUAGGCGACGGUUACCAAUUGUAAGGGACUCUUGGCUCAUUUGGCAAUAACAAUAUUGAAAUUCAGUUAUAUUUUCUCUCUCUAAGCAGUUAAGAGCUCAUCUCUCUAAAAUCUCCGAUCACAUUCCACACACUCUUGGCACUAUGCCUUGAUUCUAUGUUCUUGGCGAGAACAUUGACACCGUCUGUGGGGAAAACAUUAAACCAUGCGUAAAACACAAAGAUAAGUAAAAGCUGAAAUGAGUCAACUUAAAGUUAAAAUACAGUAAUCCAAAUAAAUAAAGAAGCAUUGUUUUUAUCUAUGUUUUCAUUUCUGGUUGAACAACAUCUCCUAAGUUAACGCCAGCAACCCCCGGGGGGUCUUCAGCACCUUCCAGCCCAGCGGGUGUAAUCUUCUUGAAAACUCCCUAAGAGUCAAGGUUGACAUCAGGAUGAAGAUGCUUGACUUGAGCCUUGGCGAUCAGGAAGCCCCGGAUGCGUUCAACAACUGCUGUCUAGGCUGCGUCGUUCUUCAUUUGCUCCUCCAGAAUCUUGGUUUGAGCAUCCUUCUCGGCCAGGAGUUUGCACUUGGACUCUAGAUCAGAGCGAGCGUUGGUAAGAGCCUUGCGCCUAUCCGAUAAAUCCUUGCGCAGCUGGGCAAUCUCUUCUUCCUUGCUGGAAAGAUCUUUCUCUUGAGCAGCAAGGGCGGCAUCUUUAGCAUCAAGGGCCUGCUUGAGUUAGUUAAUCUUGGUUUCCAGAUGCUCUUCUUUCUCAUCCGUCGCGGCCCGCGCCAGCUUCGCCUCAGCAAGUUUCUUUUGCAUCUUUGACGUCUUCUCUACUUCAGAAGCUAGCUGGCGGUGUAGGUUGGAGCAAGUUUCAUCGAAUCGAAGGUUGGCGGCGCGCAGAGUCUCCACUUCCUGGCGAAGCUCAGCAGUGCCAGAUAAGGGUCGAGCCUGCCGGGCUACCUGAGCAAACAGGCAACCCGUGCGGAGAAGAUUCGACACAGCUUCCUGAGCCACAUCUUGCGGAUUCUGGCUGGGAAUUUCCCUCAAUUUCUCAAGAUAUGAAUGAGAAAGAAGGAAGGAAAAUGGAUCGGGGUUGGAGUCGCUGGAGGGCCCUUCGGGCGAUCGGGCGAGAGUUCGUCCUCCUCAUUGACAUUCAUUGGAGAAGGAGGGGUUGGUAAAACAUUGGUGGGAGAGUUAAGGCAGUUGCCAGACGGCGAGGUGUGAGUUGUAGCAGAGGCGCUCGCCUCGCCCUGGUGAUCAGCUGCAGGAGACUUGCCCGCAUCUGAAGAGGUACAAGGGGCGGGAAUGAUGCCCUCUUCACCAAAAACAGGGGAGAUAACGGAGGGAUUUGCCUCGCUCGCCUUAUUCUUCUUUAGGGCACCUUUGUCCGCUGGCGAGCCCUGUCUUUUCUCCCCAGCACAGGCAGAGGGGGAGGCUUUAGAGCUGUUAAGAACAAAGGCAUUCAACAACUCAGCGGUAGAGAACUUCAUCGUUUUACCUGAAAAAGGAAAAGAAAAACAGUCAUCAGGGGGAAAAGCGAGGAAGAAAGUAAGCAACAAACAUACAGGAAUCAGGACCUAAUCGGGGAAGCAAUUUAGAUCCUGGGGGGGCAUUAAGCAGGUCAAUACAAUUUAAGAGCGGAAGUUGAAGUAAGGUUUCCAGGGUGAUAAUGUCUCGGGGAGAAUGAGACACGGUAUGGGGGCCAUUUAAAGAUCGAGGGGACGAGGUCCAGUAAAGAGGGAAGAGGGUUUCUCCUCCCCUCUCCGUGAAUAAUGAGGGGUAAGCAGGAUGGAUGACGACUCGGAAGUAUCUCCGAGCAAGAUAAGAUUCUGAGCCCGCCCCGUAAGGGACAAAUCGUUCUCGACCGGGCCAAGGGACCAAGACGACCCAACCUUGAGAUCCUCGAAGAUCCACCUCAAAAAGGAGGGGAAAAGGGGCAGGAGAAGGCGCAACAUCAACACUGUGGCAAAGGAUCUCGAAACAUCGUAGGUAGGCCCAGGAGCAGGGGUGAAGUUGGCAAGGGGAAGAGUGGCGAAGGUUGCCAAGCGGUGAGCCUUGAUUUCCUCGAGAGAGGACAGAGCCCCUGUGGAGAACAUCAAAAAUAAGAAGGAGAAGAGAAAAGAACUAACCAUAGGUGGGGUUGUGGACGAAAGAGCAGGGAGCAGAGCAAGGGAUUCGCAGGAUUAGUAAGGGAAGCCGGCACAGGAAUCAGGAGCGAGUGAGGAGAUAGUUAACAAGGAAAGAGGGGAAAUGUGGGGAAGAGAAUUUAAAGGAUGGGAAAGUAGAAGGUAAAGGCAGCGUGUUAGGCGAAAAGUUGUAGCCGUUAAUGCUGAUUGGUUCAAAUUCAAAAAUGUCAGGGUGAUCGAGGCCGUACCCGAUACAAAUAAUUAAUUUAGAAAACUGUAGUAACUAGGAAGUGACUCCUAGGUCGUUUCCCAAGGAUUAUCGUUUCAAUAAAGACUCAGAAUUAAGAACGCACAACGCACACACACUGGGGGGAGGGGGGUUUUGUGAUUCAGUUCAAAAGAUUAGCAGAAAGUAAAAACAGAUUAAUAUGAUAAGUAAAGACGGACGAAUCCCUUUGUUCAGUAUAUCGCUGCUCAAUCACGGGUAUCUAAAGAUCAAUUCUUGUUAUUAGUUUCCUAGUUCGUGAGAAUUAAUUAACUAAGCGAUAACUAAUUCACAGACUCCUAAACUAAGCGAUUAAGAAUCGUUUACUCCCUAAUAUGAACUAAGCGAACAUACAUCAUCUUCUAUUUCGUGAGCAAAAGGAAUUAAACAAACCUAAGCCAGAAUUAGAGAUGAAGAAAACUAAUCAGUUGAAUUUUAUUAAGCACUAUACCUCAAGAGCGCGAUAUACUUUGCAAAGGAAUUCGUUCGAAAGGAAUUAGCCUUCCAUGGAUGGGGCGAAUUCAACAAUUAUAUUGGAGAAGAGAAUAGGGAUUAAGAGCAUAAAACCCUAGCAGAGCUCUAAUAUAACUGAAAUUCGAAAAUUGAAUAAAAUAAUAAUGUAGAAGGUAAAAGGUCAUUGUUUCUCUCAGCACAAACCCUUAAAUAAGAGUUGAGAUCACAAAUCCUAAUCAAAAUCAAAUCCUAAAAGAUAACAAUAAAUCCUAAUAAAUCCUAAAAAUAGAGUUUUAAAAUAACAACCUAAAUAAGUUUGAAUCUGAAAGAUAUCAAACUUAAUUUAUUCCGAAAUUAAAUCCUAAUAAUUCCUAAAAUACAAUCUUCACUCCAGCACAAUCAAAUCUUCAUUCCGCAAAUCUCCAAAAUGCCCUUGAUGUCAAAUAAAACCUGAAAAUAAGAAUAAACGUAAUUAGACCAAAUAAUAGAAAUCUCUGUCAAGCAAGGUUAAUUAAUUACGAAUAAUCAUUAAUAAUGACAAAUUAAGGCUAUAUAAAAUGGGUAAAAUAUUGCUCAUCACAGGGUUUGACGUGGCGCAUUAAAUGGAAGGCACCGUAAAGGAAGCUUAUUUGUUGAAAUUCGGGUUGGCAGGGUUCGCUGAAGAUUCGAAAAGACAUUUCAAAAGUGGCAGUUGAGAUUCAGUGGAUUUGCUGACUUAAAAACUACUUCAGGGCGCAACGCGUGGCGAACGCACGACACCUGUCAAAGUGUCAUGAUUUAGGGCACGUGCGCAGUGCUGGCAAGGCGAGCAGGUCAAGUGUCAUCGCCCUGGGGCUGCUUGUGGACUCAGUUUGCCUAGGAAAGGGGUGGUGCAGCGAAAAGUUUGGAAUACGAAGAUUUUUUGACUUUAUUCUCCCUGCCAUGUUGGCAAUUGUUUUUUCAUUUUGUUAAAAACUUUAGGUUUUAUCAUUGUUUAGUCUUUCAUAGUCCUCGCCUUGGUUUCUUCUGUUUAAAGACACACUUAGCUCUCAUGCUUCGAGCUCGGUAUCUUGUGGACUUGUGGACUGGGCGAGACCUCAGGAUCCCUCGCCCAGGGGACUCAGCCUUAGGCGCGGAACAUGCCUGGACCUUGGGCCGCUCUCCCCAAGGCCCAACCAGCCCAUUUAGACAGAUUAAAUGCACGAAGACCCAACCCCAAAUCUAUAAAUAGGGGACGGUUACCAAUUGUAAGGGACUCUUGGCUCAUUUGGCAAUAACAAUAUUGAAAUUCAUUUAUAUUUUCUCUCUCUAAGCAGUUAUGAGCUCAUCUCUCUAAAAUCUCCGAUCACAUUUCACACACUCUUGACACUAUGCCUUGAUUCUAUGUUCUUGGCGAGAACAACUAUUCUUGUUUGUAAUUCAUAUAUAUAUAUAUAUAUAUGACUAUAGGAAAAAUUAGAUUUGUCUGAGGAGGUUAUAGAUCAUGCAAUGAAUCAAGUACAAAGUCAAUACAAGAAUCGACAGUUCGACACCACUAUUUGCACAAUGCAUAUCUUGCAAAUAGGAUAAGCCAAAUGAUGUGUCAAUAGAGGAUUGGAAUUGGCUGAUAAAAAAUAAAUGGAAUGAUCCCAAAUUUCAGGAAUGGAGCUUGAAAAAUAAAGCUAACCGGAGUAAGCAGGGAAUUAAGUCCAUAAUUGGCACAAAAUCAAUUGUGCAAACAUCAUUUGAAAUGAAAGAAGCUUCAGAAAAUGAUGAUUGGCCAAGAUGCUGUGACACUAUGGAAGGCUACGCAUAUGAGAUCUAACGGAACAUGGUGCAUUCCAAAUGGAGAACAAAUUAUGGAAAAUUUGAAGAAUGUGGGUGAGUUUUAUUAAGAGGAAAUUUCAAAUGCUCAAGUACCAUUAGCUCAACAUUUUAAAUAUGGAUUGGGGGCAAAGAGAAACCACUUGACAGGUAUAGGUAGUGCACCAAUAACAAAAAAGAUAAACAAACAAGUCAUUCAACUCAAGUUGAGAAUGCACAAAAACGAGCAAAUGAUUUGGAGAUGGAAGUGCAAAAACUAAAUGAUAUUAUAAAAAGGCAAGAGGAGACUAAUAUCCAGCUUCACAAUGAAUUGGAAUCACAUCGUGGUUUGAUUGAUGCUCAAAAAGCUGCCUUUGAAACUCAAGAAGAUAAAAUGAAGCAACUUCUUGAAAAGGAGGUGAAACAGCAAAUUGCUGCAUUAUUGUCAUUCAAUGGACUAUCUAGCAACUCAAGUGCGCUUCAACUAGUAAGGAUCCAAAUCCAUGAAGACAUUUAUAAUAAUUUAUAUAUUUUGGACUGGUUUAAUCAAGUGUUGUUAGUGUUCUUUCCCCUGCUAUCUUGUUGGUGUUGCUUCCUUUGGUUUUUUCAUUCUUGCCCAAUUCUCUUUGGCUCUAGCACGGGUGAUCUUCACUCCGUUGGAAGCUGUUUGGUGUUCUGCUAGCUUAGGUUGUAGUUCUUUGUGUUUUAUCUUUCGUGUGCUGUAGCAUCUAAAUUGUUGUUUUCUAUUUUGUCUUUCGGUUGUUGUUUUUAGGAUUUAGAAUUUAGGAUUAUAUUGUAUUUUAAUUUUUAUCCUUCAAUAUGUAAUGGAUAAUUUUUUUAAUGCUAUAUUUUUUUUUUGUUAA
Molecule: long non-coding RNA, 7388 nt
Organism: Lotus japonicus
Lineage: Eukaryota; Viridiplantae; Streptophyta; Magnoliopsida; Fabales; Fabaceae
Exons: 8
Source: RefSeq, a predicted model, not a curated record